This is a long non-coding RNA of Tyto alba (common barn owl), 669 nucleotides long. RefSeq lists it as uncharacterized. The transcript is spliced from 5 exons. NCBI's taxonomy places the organism in Eukaryota, Metazoa, Chordata, Aves, Strigiformes, Tytonidae. The record is from RefSeq and is a predicted model, not a curated record.
GGGAGAGAAGCCUCUGCAAAAGCCUGAGAAGGACCAUGAACAGUUGAUCAGUGAAGGGUGACUGACGUGAACAGGAAGAACUCAGGAACUGAAGCUUAGUGGUGACACGGAGGAGCUCCGCUGGGAGAGGCCAGCCCCGUCCCUGCAACAUGGAGCGGCACGUCCCCAAGCUGGACGCUCACCUUCCCACCUGAGCAGAGCCUCUUCUUUCGGAGAGAGCCACCAGAGAUAAGGCACAUGAUUAAAUCUCCGGAGGGGCUGGAGCUACCCGCUGACUGGUGAUGGGGAGCUGAGACGGAGCAGCUGAGAGAGACCCACAACUGCCACCCCGCUCACCCCAAGACCCUCAGCACCCACCCGACUCUGCCGGGAAACUCGUCUUGGAAACCUCAGGAUGGGAACAAGCUGCAGUGGCGGGGGGCACUGUGUUUUAGUUGAGGUUCAUAUUGUUCCUCUGAUCCUUUGCUCUCAGAUGAGGUCUCCUUGAGAAGCCAAAUUCCCUUUUGGAUGUGCCUAAGGGAGCUUGUGAACCUGGCUGCCAGCGGUCAGGAAACCACGAGUUAUAUCUGACACCAGAGUUCAUCAGACAAAGUCCUUACAAACACAGGAGUCCAGAAGACAUCGGCUGAAUGUUUUCCUGGUAUAAAGAAGAGGAGGAGGAGAAAGAGG